This 281-nucleotide long non-coding RNA is filed under the name Musa acuminata (dwarf banana). Its description in RNAcentral is "long non-coding RNA (MACU_LNC008563)". The record is from RNAcentral. Lineage: Eukaryota; Viridiplantae; Streptophyta; Magnoliopsida; Zingiberales; Musaceae.
UGGGGUAAUCAAUUACAUAAUAUAAUAUGUAGCAACAUUUUUAAUCAAUUCUACAUCUGUAUAGCUAGAUGAAAUAGAAACAAGCAAACGAGCAAGUGCUUUGCCUGAGUUCCAAGUUCGCCGAAUGUUUUGUGUCAGUGAUUAAUGAGUUUAGUUUAUGAAAUUUUUAGUAAAGCAUUCUAUUAUACCUUAGAUAGACAUCUAUUACACUUUUUCUCUAUUACAGAUUUUUUUUAUUUUUUUAUUUAUUCAGCACAUAAACUGUUUGUCAUUUUCUUUUU